Molecule: long non-coding RNA, 1358 nt
Organism: Mytilus californianus (California mussel)
Lineage: Eukaryota; Metazoa; Mollusca; Bivalvia; Mytilida; Mytilidae
Exons: 3
Source: RefSeq, a predicted model, not a curated record
GUCAGAUGUGUUGGUCAGGUGACUUGAGAAAGAGACAACAUGUUGGUUCACUGUUAUAGUGAGUAUUUUAUUAUUACAAGUAUUUCUGAUUUGUUGAGGUUAACCUGCGGUCAGAUGUGUUGGUCAGGUGACUUGAGAAAGAGACAACAUGUUGGUUCACUGUUAUAGUGAGUAUUUUAUUAUUACAAGUAUUUCUGAUUUGUUGAGGUUAACCUGCCGUCAGAUGUGUUGGUCAGGUGACUUGAGAAAGAGACAACAUGUUGGUUCACUGUUAUAGUGAGUAUUUUAUUAUUACAAGUAUUUCUGAUUUGUUGAGGUUAACCUGCCGUCAGAUGUGUUGGUCAGGUGACUUGAGAAAGAGACAACAUGUUGGUUCACUGUUAUAGUGAGUAUUUUAUUAUUACAAGUAUUUCUGAUUUGUUGAGGUUAACCUGCGGUCAGAUGUGUUGGUCAGGUGACUUGAGAAAGAGACAACAUGUUGGUUCACUGUUAUAGUGAGUAUUUUAUUAUUACAAGUAUUUCUGAUUUGUUGAGGUUAACCUGCGGUCAGAUGUGUUGGUCAGGUGACUUGAGAAAGAGACAACAUGUUGGUUCACUGUUAUAGUGAGUAUUUUAUUAUUACAAGUAUUUCUGAUUUGUUGAGGUUAACCUGCGGUCAGAUGUGUUGGUCAGGUGACUUGAGAAAGAGACAACAUGUUGGUUCACUGUUAUAGUGAGUAUUUUAUUAUUACAAGUAUUUCUGAUUUGUUGAGGUUAACCUGCGGUCAGAUGUGUUGGUCAGGUGACUUGAGAAAGAGACAACAUGUUGGUUCACUGUUAUAGUGAGUAUUUUAUUAUUACAAGUAUUUCUGAUUUGUUGAGGUUAACCUGCCGUCAGAUGUGUUGGUCAGGUGACUUGAGAAAGAGACAACAUGUUGGUUCACUGUUAUAGUGAGUAUUUUAUUAUUACAAGUAUUUCUGAUUUGUUGAGGUUAACCUGCGGUCAGAUGUGUUGGUCAGGUGACUUGAGAAAGAGACAACAUGUUGGUUCACUGUUAUAGUGAGUAUUUUAUUAUUACAAGUAUUUCUGAUUUGUUGAGGUUAACCUGAGGUAAGAUGUGUUGGUCAGGUGACUUGAGAAAGAGACAACAUGUUGGUUCACUGUUAUAGUGAGUAUUUUAUUAUUACAAGUAUUUCUGAUUUGUUGAGGUUAACCUGAGGUAAUAUGUCAUCUUCUGUACAAUAAAAUAAUGGUACACCUCAACAAACUAGACAAAGAGGUACAUGUAUAAUUAUCUACCACUUUACAAACAAGGAGGCACCAGGAAGGGACUGGAGAAUGACAAGCCUUUCAUCAUUCUACUUCUGUUCACUAUGUU